Non-coding RNA from Phrynosoma platyrhinos (Desert horned lizard), 72 nucleotides. NCBI's taxonomy places the organism in Eukaryota, Metazoa, Chordata, Lepidosauria, Squamata, Phrynosomatidae. The record is from the annotation of a GenBank genome assembly.
GCAAGUGUGGCGUAGUGGUUUGAGUGUUGGACUACAAUUCUGGAGACCAGGUUUCGAUUCUCAGCUCAGCCA